RNAcentral lists this long non-coding RNA (411 nucleotides) under Elaeis guineensis (African oil palm). Its description in RNAcentral is "long non-coding RNA (EGUI_LNC010869)". Lineage: Eukaryota; Viridiplantae; Streptophyta; Magnoliopsida; Arecales; Arecaceae. The record is from RNAcentral.
UCCGGUCGUCGGGUACCAUUGCUAGAUGGUCACUUCGAUUAGUACAGGAAUUGGUUCCUGUGCUACCGGCUUAGGUUCGAACCUGCAGGGUCACACACAUUAGAGGUUCCUUUCUGAUCUGAUGGCUGAUUAUGAGUCUUAUGUGUCUGAGACUCUAUGAUUGAGAAUUAGGAUUCUCUGAUCAUGAGUUCCACACAUUUUGGAUAUCGAGGUCAAAAUUUUGAAUUUCAAAUUUUGAAUUUGAAAUUUGAACUCUUCGAUCAAGAUUUCAUAUUGAUGGACUUUGAUACCCAAUUGCCCAUCGGAUUUGGACUCAAUAAUUAUGAGAGGUUUUAUUAGUGAUUUGAUCGCUAAUUAACUCAAUUUGAUUGAGUAAUUAUUUUUGGAUCAAGUCCAAUUGAAUUGGAUUCA